Brassica rapa (field mustard) is the source of this 4848-nucleotide long non-coding RNA. RefSeq lists it as uncharacterized. The record is from RefSeq and is a predicted model, not a curated record. NCBI's taxonomy places the organism in Eukaryota, Viridiplantae, Streptophyta, Magnoliopsida, Brassicales, Brassicaceae.
CUCGCUAGGUGCUACGCAUGCGGUGCACCCGGACAUAGCGAUUUAUCGAAAAAGCGGAAAAAUAUCGGGGAGUAUGCGGGAAGGAAUUUUCCGUAUUUGAUACGUAUAAUACUUUAUUUAUACAUAUAAUACAAGAUAGUACAAGCUUAUGUAACAAGUUUUCUAAAAUUCUACAAAUAUAGCUUGGUCUAAUGGUUUUGGGGUGUUAGUUAUGUUUGCAAAUCAUGUGUUCGAACAGCAAAAAACUUAUUUUAUUUUUAUUUUAAUGUUUUCUUUCAGUGAGUGGCAAAAUAGUAAUUAAGUCUUCUUCUUCCUUUACCCAUCGUUUUGGUUUCUGCAUUUUCUACCAUAGCUAACAUAAUAAAUCUAUCACCAAUCACUUAAAUUUUGCUGCUUUCUACUAGUUUCUUCAGUAAAUUUGUAGAUCUCUUAUCUCAUAUACGAUUUCAAGAGCUAAAAAUCCAAAAAAAAAAAAAAAACCAAGAUAAGUCCAAUUUUUCAUUCGAUUUUGAUGAAAUCGCCACGGUGAGUUGCCGAGGAGUGAGUAUUCGUCCGAUUAAACUGUAACUCGGGCGAGUUUUAGAACAUGGGUUUUAUUAAACAACUAGGUAGCGGACAUAGUUAUUUUUUCAAAAGAAAUUAGGCAGUAUAUACACGAGAAAAUGCGAAAUUGGGUAACUACCCAAACACUGGUCAUGACAUUAUGGUCUUUUCAAUAUACCACCACUACCCCUACUGAUCUAGUAACCUAUGAUAUCUUAGCCAAUAUAUUCUUGUCAGAACGUAUCCCUUUCCCACACUAAACAUUAUACAUAAAUAUAUUUUCUUCUAUAACUCAUGAUGAUAAAAGUAAUGUUAUCCAGAGAGGAUGAACACGUUGAGAAUAUAGGUGGAAUUGUUCUUCAAAACCAUUUUAUCCAGAGAGAAAUAAGAAGUCAGCCAAUGAGAACUGUAGAUUUUGGUGAACCAAUUAAAUAAUUAGUACUUCAUGUUUAAUGGAUCUUAUCUGAUAAAAGAUAUUGUUUAACAUAAAUUGUUAGAUGUUACCACUUUUUCUUAUCAUGUAUUAACCAUAUCCUGAAUGAUUUGCCUAAGAGAUAUUGGCUAGUGUGUAUUGUCUAUAAUAAUUGACUUGUGACACUGUUAUUACCAAUCUAAUAAAUAAAUCAACAUAUACCUUUCUAGCUAACAUCUACAAUCUCGACUCUAAAGUUUGUAUUGCAUGUUACUAAAAAGAACAAACCAACCAUGAUGUAUAUGAGUACUGGCUAACAUAAUAUUUACCAUCUAUCCUAAUUAAAAGUUAAGGCCUAAAGUAUAGAUUACCACCAUCUAACUUAAUUUUUACAAUUUACUAUUCCUAUGUAGACCCUAAGUUGUACCUUACCACUUAACACAUUUUGUACCAUCUACGAUGCUUUUUCAUAGGAGUUACAAAUAUUAAUGAUAUAUUACUACCCUAAACUAUACCUUUGAUAAAUUGAACAAUUCAAUGCAACGAUUUCGUCUAUAAUAUAAAUAUAUGAUUGAGACCCUAUAUGAUUAGAUCGUAAUCUUACACAUAGCUCUGUACCAUUUUUACCAAUGGUUGGGACUGCUUUGGACAAUUCUGCCUUAAUACGUUUGUCUACCUAAUAUUGUUACCAACACUAAUUCAUAAUUUAAUAUCUAACAUACUAGUUAAUAUUUACUGUUUGUAUUACAUGGACCCUAACGUUUAUUAUUGUAUGUCUAACUUACAUUUUACCGUCUAACUUACAUUUUUCCAUCUAACAUAUACUAUUUCUUGCAAUCAAAGUCAUAGAUGUACCGUCUAACAUUUAUUAUUGUAUGUCAUAGAUGUACCGUCUAACAUUUAUUACAUUUUACCGUCUAACUUACAUUUUUCCAUCUAACAUAUACUAUUUCUUGCAAUCAAAGUCAUAGAUGUACCGUUUAACAUUUAUUAUUGUAUGUCAUCUCUCUCCGGUUAGGUUAACUUAGGUGCAAGUUAUGCCAUAACUUAGCUAUAUGUAUCUGCAACUUAAGUUUGAUACACUCAUAUGCACAGAAAAAAACCAUAAUUAGAUAUCUACCAAAUUUUUUCUUAGUAUCUAAUCAAAAGGUGUACCAUCUAACAUAUAGUCUAUUAUUUGAAAACUAAAAAUAAUUAAUAUUUAUAAGUAUAUAAAUUGUAUUAUAAAAAUUCUGGUACCCAUUCGGUUUUCAGUACUGUUCCGGUUCAGUUUCAUAUUCUGAUAUUAGAGAUAUUGGUUCCUCUGGACAAUUUAUAGGAUCCAAACUUGAACAAAACCUAGUUUUCGCUUUGGUUUGGCUUUUCAGUUUUGGAUAAAUGUGCUCAUGCGUAAAAAUAACAACAUGCAUAAAAAUAACAACAACGAUUUUAACAAAGUUAACUUUCAACUUAAUGUAAAAAAAUCACUUUUCGCAAAUAGUAGCAUUAAACUUUUUUGUCAACAUCAGAGACUUCUCUGUUUCACAUUUAGAAUCAAAAACAUUGAAACAUUCAUGGACUGUAAAUGUUCUAGAAUUCUCUUUCCACACUUUCCAUAUUAGUUUUUGAGUUUAUGUCAUCAGUAAAGACCAAAGUAGUUGACUUACUUAAAAACACUGCAUGUUUUUUUACUAGGUUAAUGGGUACACGAAUUAAAAGAAACUGCAAAAUUUAUAUUUAACAAAGACCAAAACAUUUCUAUUCAUAAAAAAAAGACCAAAACAGUCGUUGUUUUUUUUAAAUUAUCAAAUACUAAUAUGUUCAAUUAAUUAAUAUAUUAAUAGAUAAUAAGUUAAUAACAAAACAUAUAGGUCGCAACAAACAUACUCCCUCGUAUAAUUUUAAUUAUUGUUUUAAGUUUAUACACACAUUAAGAAAACAUUACAUUUUGCAUAUUUCCAAAAUAAAAGAUCAUUACUUAUAUAGCAAACCAUAUUUCAAUCAAAAUUAAAAUAAAUUUUGCAUUGAAAUUAUAAAAUGACACUUAUUUUGAGACGAAAAUUUAACUCUACAACAAUAAUUAAACUGAAAUAAAUGAAAUAUGUCACAACAAACAUAUGUCAAAACAAUCCAAAUUUAUAUAAUUAAAAGAUGAUGCAAGUGAAUAAAAAUAAUAAAAUAAAAGUCUAAAAAUUUCAUGAUUCAUUAUGGGUAGCAAAAAAAUUUAACCGAGUUAAAGAACUCCGAACGGAAAAUCCUCCGAGAAUUCGUCGAAAAUCAUCUUUGUUUUCUUGUAAUAUUUCCUUCCACACUUUCACAUCAGUUUUUGAGUUUAUUUCAUCAAUAAAGACUAAAGUAGUUAUUGACUUUCUUUGAAAACUCUGCAUGUCUUUGGUUAGAUAGAGUAACGGGUACACGAAUUAAAAGAAACUGCAAAAUAUAUACAUAAUAACAAAGACCAAUACAGUCGUUGACUCGUUGUCUUUUUGUUUAAAUUACCAAACACCAACUUAUUCGAUCAAUUAAUAUAUUAAUAGAUAAUAACAAAACAAUUGUCGCAAAAAUCCAAAUUAUAUAAUUAGAAGAUGAUGAAAGUAAAAAAGUAAAAAUAAAAUAAGUAAUAAUUUAUGAUUUAUUAAAAGUAUUAGUGAUGGGCAUUCGGUUUCAACUAUAGAGCAAAGAUCUUUGAUAUCAGCUUAUAGACCACAUUGCAAAGAGCAAUGGGUCUUUAUUCUGAUACCAGCUUCGGGCUCUGGACCUUCGGUAUAAGUUUCACGGGGGUGUUGUUAAUCUACUCUGGGAGAACGCCCGUCCUGAAGAAUUCUUGCGUCUCUUUGACGAUAAUAGGACCUACUGUAGACAGUUUGACUGGAAAAAACAUGCCGAGAACCCAUCUGGUCCGGAUGCUUUCUCCGGAUGGAUCGAGAACAUAACCACUCUAAUCUCCUCCGCUGUUGGUAUCUUGAUCAGUAGUUCAUUAGUUUCAGCUGAGAUACACGGGGAGAUGGCUUGCUCAACAAUAGCCGAUGAAUCAAGUGAGAGGUCUGGGCUAGAGUUCGAAGUAAAGAUUGUCUGGAAAUACGAGGUUAUCUCCUGAACAAUGUGUGUUUCCUCAUAGAAGACAGUACCAACAGAGUUCUCUAGUACAUCAAUGCGAUUUCUAGCUCGUUUUCCUUAACAAAUUGUGUGAAAAUACCCUGAAUUCCUAUCACCAGCUGCAAGCCACAUUAGUCUACUCCUCUGUUUCCAGAAUUCUUCUUCAUCCUUGUAAGCUCUCAGGAGUUCCCCUUUGAGGUGUGAGAUAAGGGAGUCGUUCUCUGUUUUGUACGACAUUGCAGUUCCACUUCCCCUUUUAGCCUCUCAAUGCAUAUUCUGCUGUUAGUAGCUUGUUUCUUACCCCAGGCAGAGAUCGCAAAGCGGCAUCUGGUUAUCUAUUAACCAAUAUCCCAAAAAUCGAUUAAAUGAGGCGUUCAAUAGGAGACUAGUGAUUAGGUGGGUGGUGCGCGGUUUACAUAAUUGGGCGCUUACGCACUGAUAAGCUACACUGAUUCUUCGAACACUGCAUACAACUAAACACUCCAACUUUUCCCAGCAUCUGACCUUUGAUAAAAACUACCAAGAGAAAUACAUUUCAUUGAUAACAAAGUAGAAAACAAAACAUGGAGCACAAGCAUUGAUAACUUCGUCUUAUUACAAAUUCAUCAAACGUCUCUUUUAUUCAUAAAGUUUGUUUCAUCCAUGACAAAACAAGUAAAGAUCACUAAACGGAGACGAUGUUGGUCACAGAGACCUUAACCAUUUCAGCUUCAAAGAUGAUAGCAUCAUUCACCAAAUACCCUUUGGAUGCAUCGUUUAAAUCUGCUAGCAAUAUGAUAUUGUUUACUCCCACGCCAUAACCGCUUCGAAUAGGGUAC